AGUGGCGGACGGGUGAGUAACGCGUGAGCAACCUGCCCUUCGGAGGGGGAUAGUGUCUGGAAACGGACAGUAAUACCGCAUAACGUAUUGAUACCGCAUGAUAUUGAUACCAAAACUGAGGUGCCGAAGGAUGGGCUCGCGUUGGAUUAGAUAGUUGGUGGGGUAACGGCCUACCAAGUCGACGAUCCAUAGCCGGACUGAGAGGUUGAACGGCCACAUUGGGACUGAGACACGGCCCAGACUCCUACGGAAGGCAGCAG
This 260-nucleotide ribosomal RNA is filed under the name uncultured bacterium. RNAcentral's name for it is "partial 16S ribosomal RNA". It matches the Rfam family "Bacterial small subunit ribosomal RNA", at positions 94 to 354 of the family's 1533-position model. The record is from RNAcentral.